UCUCAUUUUAUAAGCUGUGGUGGUUCUUCC
This 30-nucleotide non-coding RNA is filed under the name Mus musculus (house mouse). Lineage: Eukaryota; Metazoa; Chordata; Mammalia; Rodentia; Muridae. The record is from RNAcentral.